GUGAGGAAUAUUGGUCAAUGGACGGAAGUCUGAACCAGCCAAGUAGCGUGCAGGAUGACGGCCCUAUGGGUUGUAAACUGCUUUUGUAUGGGAAUAAAGUGCGGGACGUGUCCCGUUUUGUAUGUACCAUAAGAAUAAGGACCGGCUAAUUCCGUGCCAGCAGCCGCGGUAAUACGGAAGGUCCGGGCGUUAUCCGGAUUUAUUGGGUUUAAAGGGAGCGCAGGCUGGAGAUUAAGCGUGACGUGAAAUGCCGCGGCUCAACCGUGGAAGUGCGUCGCGAACUGGUUUCCUUGAGUGUAUUCGACGUCAGCGGAAUUCGUGGUGUAGCGGUGAAAUGCUUAGAUAUCACGAAGAACUCCGAUUGCGAAGGCAGCUGGCGAGGCUAUAACUGACGCUAAAGCUCGAAGGUGCGGGUAUCGAACAGG
This 425-nucleotide ribosomal RNA is filed under the name uncultured rumen bacterium. RNAcentral describes it as "bacterial SSU rRNA". It matches the Rfam family "Bacterial small subunit ribosomal RNA", at positions 354 to 776 of the family's 1533-position model. The record is from RNAcentral.